This 548-nucleotide ribosomal RNA is filed under the name uncultured organism. Its description in RNAcentral is "bacterial SSU rRNA". It matches the Rfam family "Archaeal small subunit ribosomal RNA", at positions 374 to 922 of the family's 1478-position model. The record is from RNAcentral.
GGGANCCCCGAGUGCUCCUACUCAGUAGGAGCUGUCCAGUUGUCUAAAAAACAACCGUUAGCAAGAGCCGGGCAAGACCGGUGCCAGCCGCCGCGGUAACACCGGCGGCUCGAGUGGUGACCGUUAUUAUUGGGUCUAAAGGGUCCGUAGCUGGCUUAAUAAGUUCCUUGGGAAAUCUGGCGGCUUAACCGUCAGGCUGCCGAGGAAUACUAUUAGGCUCGAGACCGGGAGGGGCUAGAGGUACUUCAGGGGUAGGAGUGAAAUCCUGUAAUCCUUGAGAGACCACCAGUGGCGAAGGCGUCUAGCUAGAACGGGUCUGACAGUGAGGGACGAAAGCUAGGGUCGCGAACCGGAUUAGAUACCCGGGUAGUCCUAGCCGUAAACGAUGCGAGCUAUGUAUCAGUUUCACUGCGAGUGAAAUUGGUGCCGUAGAGAAGUCGUGAAGCUCGCCACCUGGGAAGUACGGCCGCAAGGCUGAAACUUAAAGGAAUUGGCGGGGGAGCACUACAAUGGGUGGAGCCUGCGGUUCAAUUGGAUUCAACGCCGGA